Salvia hispanica is the source of this 5203-nucleotide non-coding RNA. The record is from RefSeq and is a predicted model, not a curated record. NCBI's taxonomy places the organism in Eukaryota, Viridiplantae, Streptophyta, Magnoliopsida, Lamiales, Lamiaceae.
UCAACCAACUUUUCUUUACAUUUUUUAAAACCCGUGCCCAAUCAAAGUGUGACUCUUAAUCGGGGACGGAGGGGGUAUCAUUUUGUACUAACAUGUCGUAGGGAAUUUUCUUGUACAAAAUUAGGUCAACCCUUUUCCAAAAACCAACAAUCAUUCACUUUCUUCACGUCAACUUCCCAACUCGUAUCUCUUUCCCCUCGCAUUAUGUUGCAUCUUGUCGGAAUAUUCUCACCAAAUUCGUCGACCAAAUCUGGAGGAAUUCUCUAUUGCAUAUGCAAACAAAUUAAGGAGAAAUAGAAUUAUUAAAGCAUUAUUAUUAUUAUGAAAGUUAGUGGGUAAGUGGCAAUGAAUGUCAUUAGUGGAUAGUUAAUCAUGAAAAAAAUGAAGAGUUUUAGUAUUAAUAUUUCAUUUAAGUUACAUAACAUGAUAUUUUUAAAUUUAAAAAUAAAGUAAGUAUAUGAAAAAAUUCUUUUUAUACUAUGAAUGACAUUCUUUAAUUAUUCCCAAAACUCUCCUUUUAUAUAUUUAUAGAUAGAUUAUAAUUUUUAAUUUUUUAAAAUAUAAACUUUUGAAAUGAUAUAAAUUUUAAUAUAAAUUUGAUAAAGAAAAAAUAUGUCGUGAAAAAUGAGUUUCAUAUCAUAAGAGGGAAAGAAAGUUCCUAAAAUAAAUGGGAUGUCGGCACUGCACUGCUUUACUAAAUUUCAGCCCCGUUUCUUAAAAUUUCUGAUUCCGUCAUUGUUCAAUGCUUUCGUUCUCAUAAAAUUUUUAGUAAGAGAUUUAUUUUUAUUGGUUUGGAAAGAAUAUUUUUAAGAUUAAUAGUUGUUGUAUUAGAGUUGACGCAUAUUUAAUUCGGAACCACCACCUAACGCCGUUGACAAAUCCUGUUCUCCGGCUUCACCACCGCAACUCUACUCCGAGAUGGCGGCUUAUGGUGCAGCCACUUCUCUUAAGUACACGAUUCAUCGUAUUCUGCAUUCGUCUCGGAUUUCGCUGGUUCAUCCCUCUCAACAAAUCUUACAACGAGCGUAUGAGGCCAUGGUUCGCUUGCAGAAAGUUUUACUAAAGCUGGAUGAGACGAGCUACUGCAAGAUCAGGACGGAGGUGAAUGUUGUGGAUGAACGAAUCAAAGAGGUUGUAUGGGAAUUCGAAGAUUUACUCGAAUCCCAUUACACAAAUCAGAUUCUUCUACAGCUCAAAAGAGAGAGAGAUCACUUGUCUUUCUUAGCAGAUAUGCAGAGUCGUCGGCAGAGUGUUGAUUGCUUCGUCGAGAGAGUGACGAUGACGGAGGCGGGGUACAAAGUUCAGCUGGAGAAUAUGCCUGAAGAAGAAGGCGAACCUGUUUCCUCAAGGAUUGAUUUCGGUGGAAUCAACUCUGAGAAGGUUGGAUUAUCUGAUGAAUUUGAACGAGUCAAGGAUUUGAUUCUUGUACAAGAUCGUGGCAAUUUCAAUUGGCUAUCAGUGAUUGGGGUGGCAGGGGUUGGAAAGACAACUCUGGCGAAGAAAGUAUUUGACGAUCCAACUAUUCAGAGACAUUUCGAGCUUCGAGCAUGGGUCACAGUGGGCGGAAAAUGUGAUUCCAAAACUUUACGACGCAUUCUAGCUCAACUGGAUCCCAACAUUCGCCACCAAGUGCUUAACCAAGGAGAUGACGAUGAUGGCAUCGAUAUUUUAGUUGGAGUCUUGAAAGAGAGAUUGAAGAAUAAGAAGUGUCUCCUUGUGAUGGACGAUGUAUGGGAAUGGGACAAACGGCUAAUGGAUAGAUUGCCAAAGGAGAAUAUUCAAAUCUUGCUUACAAGUAGGCUAAGAUCUAAUGGAAUGUCACUUCGAAGAUUGCUAGGAGUUAAAGGGUCUCCAUUUCAAGUAGUAUGUUUGCUGAAUGAAGAAGAACGUGAGAAAUUACUUGGUGUGAAGGUGCUCAAUCAGAAGGGUUUGGGAGAUCUCUUAUCUUUCUCUGUGGAUCUGCAGAGUCUGCGGCAGAGUGUUGAUAGCUUCAUCGAGACAGUGACGGUGAUGGAGGCAGAGUAUGAUAUUGAACGGUUGAAUAUGCCUGAAGAAAAAGGUGUACCUCUUUCCACAAGAAUUGAUUGCCAUAGAAUCAACUCUAAUAUGGUUGGAUUAUCUGAUGAAUUUGGACAAGUAAGGGAUUAUCUUCUUGCAGAAAUUGAAGUUGAUAAAAGAUGUGUAGAUGAAAAGGAUUGGCUAUUAGUUAUAGGGAUGGCAGGGGUUGGAAAGACAACUCUUGCAAAGAAAGCAUUUGAAGAUCCAACCAUUCAGAGACAUUUCGACUUUCGAGCAUGGGUGAAAGUGGGAAGAAAAUGUGGAAUCAAUGAAAUAUUACGAUGUAUUCUAGCUCAAGUGGAUCAAAACAUUCGCAACCAAAUGCUUACUCCAGCAGACAAUAAUGAUGACGAGGUGGAAGAACUCUUGGAAGAGAGAUUGAAGGAUAAGAAAUGUCUCAUUGUGUUAGAUGAUGUAUGGGAAUGGGACACAGAUAUAAUUGAUUACUUGCCACAUGAUAAUGUCCGAAUCUUGGUUACAAGCAGGCUAGGAAUUGAAGAAUCUUCGCAUCAUGUCAUAGUACGAUUGUUGACUUUCGAAGAAAGUAAGGAAUUACUUGGCGAGAAGGUGUUUGGUAAAUAUGGUUUCCCUUCCCACCUGGAGAAAUUGGGAGAAAAGAUUGCCAAAAAAUGUGAAGGUCUUCCACUUAUGAUAGUCACAGUUGCCGAGCUCCUAUCCAAUGAAGAAAAGACCCCAGAAUUCUGGACUGCGGUAGCUGGGAAAAAACAUAAUUCAGUUUUCGUGGAUGCAUAUAGUAAAAUAUAUGAGGUACUUUUACCAAGCUAUGAAUACUUACCUCAAUAUCUAAAAAUGGUUUUUCUCUAUAUUGGAGCUUUCCAUCCGUACAAAAAUAUCGAACAAAAUCACAUGUUCUCCUUGUUGCAUGCUGAAGGGUUUCUAGAACAUAGUCUAAAACAGACUAAGGAGCCUUUUGCUGAAUUUUGCUUGGAAAGGCUUGCAAGCUAUUAUCAUCUUUUUCUGUUUAGAUUAGAUACAAAAUCUUGGUUUUCAAGGCCACAGUCCCGCGUGCAUUCAUGUUGGCAGCACUUGUGUAAGAAAGAAUCAAGUAAGAUCAAGUUUCUGCAUGUCUUACAAAGUUGGCAUGAUGUUUUGAAAGACCAACGUCGGUUGUGUACCAAUGAUCACAUGUUGUUUGCCUUUGAACAAGUGCUUCGCUCAAUAACGUAUGAUGGCGCAUCCACCGUCCGUUCUUUGCUUUGUUUUGGUCCUUACCAUCACUAUCCGGUGCCAAUACUUGCCAUGAAUUUCAAGCUGCUCAGGGUAUUAGAUGCUUACCAAGUCCGGUUCUACCAUUUCCCACUUGAAAUUUUCAGACUAGUUUGUUUGACGUAUCUUGCCCUAACUUGCACCAGAGAGAUCCCAUCUUCCAUAUCCAACCUUUUUCAGCUUCAAGUGUUUCUUAUCAAAUCCCAUGAGAACAUUAAAAAGCGUGGAGUUGUGUCAUAUUUGCCGAUGGAAAUGUGGGACAUGCAAGAACUAAUAUGUAUUGAUGUCACUGGAAGAGACCUACCAAUCUCUAAUGGUGAUACUACUUUGGACAAACUCCACACUCUUUCUGGUGUUAGUACGAAGAGUUGCACUAGAAAAGUUCUCAGAAGAAUCCCCAAUUUGAAGUCAUUACUAAUUAUUAUGGAGUUGGAACCUUAUGCUGACGACAAUAAUGACGACCCAUUGAGUGGAUUGGAUUAUAUAUCUCAAGAACUCCUUCAUUUGGAGGCACUUAAAUUUCUUGUAGUGAACCCUGAGAUGAUGUUUGAGUAUGUGGUUCCUUUUAAAAUGUUCCCAUCAAGUCUGACAUUGUUGAAAUUGGGUGGCACUGGGUGUUCAUGGCAGCACUUGAAUGACAUUGGUUCGUUGCUACCAAAUCUCAAGGAGCUUUUCUUACAUGACUAUGCCUUCCGAGGGCCAGAGUGGAAUAUAGUCAUUGGGUGUUUUUCAAAACUUGAGACACUUGUAAUUCAAGACACUGAUUUGGUGCGAUGGAGCGCUCAAAGGCGAAGCCUCUCAAAUCUUAAACUCCUAAGUUUACAGCAUUGCUACAAGUUACAGCAACUCGAAUGGAAAUAUGGUAGAGCAAGAUAUAAAUCUGAAAUGCAUGCAAUUGAAUUAAUUGAGUGCAAUCCCAUGGCUGUAAGCUCUGCCAAUCAGUUACCGGAAUCUUUGUUUACAGUUCGUAGCUACUCUUCUUUUUGUUAGCUGAGAAGUCGUAGCCAGAAUCUUUUGCUUGGUUAACAGGUUAGCCUCCCUACUUCAUAUAAUUUGCACUAACUUUAUAAAUUCACUUAUUUCUUACCUAUAAUGCAUGUGUUUGUGAUUUAAACUUGACGAUGUGUUUUUGUUAUAUAUUAUCGUAGUACGUGUGUUUUAAGUUGUUAGCUGCUCUUUUUCUUGCUAGUGUGUGUGGUUUGGUGGUUUCUAUUACUGCGCGUGCAGUGUGUUUCCUGAAUCUAAGGAUUGUGAAUUGUUGGAUUUUGCUGAGGAUCAUGAAACCUAGACGGUGAUUUAUGUUUGUAACCGAAACUGUUGUCAGUUAGAUUUGUAUGAAAACAUACAUGUAGUUCAAGCCGUGUUAUGCAUGAUUUUCACUUUGUUUUGAUUCUAUGUGGAUCAGUUGAUGCGUUUUCGUUAGUCGAAGUUCAUCAAUAAGCUCAUUUUCAAGGUGAGAAUAUAUUUAUAUGUUUAUUUAUCGAUUAAUGUAGCAAAAGAGAAGGGAUUAUUACUUGAUUCUUGAUUAUUUUGUUUUUAUAUUAGAUUGAUAAGUGUGUAUGUAUACAGUAUACCAUCAUCACAUUUGUAUAAUAGGAUUUCAACCUCUUUCUAUGAUGUUUAUAGAGAUUCACAUUGAGGAAUUCUUGCAAUGAGAGAUCAGUGUGGGUUUAUGUUGUGGCUAUAGAUUUUAGCAAAAAAUAAAAGAUCAGAAGGGGUAAGACGACGUCGAUUUGUAAUUGAGUCAUAUGUGUUUUUAAGUCAUUUUCUGUAAUCGCGUGUGGGCAUGUUAUAAGCUCAUUCAUGGGUUUUUCUUCGUUUGGUUCUUUUCCCAUGUCGUACGUAGUGUUUGAAUCAAACAAGACUCUUGUUUCUUAAUACUACAAAUUCUACUUAAUUAUGAUUCUAUUUUGAGCUG